Molecule: ribosomal RNA, 425 nt
Filed under: uncultured bacterium
Lineage: Bacteria
Description: partial 16S ribosomal RNA
Rfam family: Bacterial small subunit ribosomal RNA
Source: RNAcentral
GUGGGGAAUCUUAGACAAUGGGGGAAACCCUGAUCUAGCCAUGCCGCGUGAGCGAUGAAGGCCUUAGGGUUGUAAAGCUCUUUCAGCUGGGAAGAUAAUGACGGUACCAGCAGAAGAAGCCCCGGCUAACUCCGUGCCAGCAGCCGCGGUAAUACGGAGGGGGCUAGCGUUGUUCGGAAUUACUGGGCGUAAAGCACGCGUAGGCGGACCAGAAAGUUGGAGGUGAAAUCCCAGGGCUCAACCUUGGAACUGCCUUCAAAACUCCUGGUCUGGAGUUCGAGAGAGGUGAGUGGAAUUCCGAGUGUAGAGGUGAAAUUCGUAGAUAUUCGGAGGAACACCAGUGGCGAAGGCGGCUCACUGGCUCGAUACUGACGCUGAGGUGCGAAAGCGUGGGGAGCAAACAGGAUUAGAAACCCCAGUAGUCC